AACUUUUAACAACGGAUCUCUUGGUUCUGGCAUCGAUGAAGAACGCAGCGAAAUGCGAUAAGUAAUGUGAAUUGCAGAAUUCAGUGAAUCAUGGAAUCUUUGAACGCACAUUGCGCCCGCCAGCAUUCUGGCGGGCAUGCCUGUUCGAGCGUCAUUUCA
RNAcentral lists this ribosomal RNA (159 nucleotides) under Colletotrichum cereale. RNAcentral describes it as "5.8S ribosomal RNA". It matches the Rfam family "5.8S ribosomal RNA". From Rfam's summary of the family: 5.8S ribosomal RNA (5.8S rRNA) is a component of the large subunit of the eukaryotic ribosome. It is transcribed by RNA polymerase I as part of the 45S precursor that also contains 18S and 28S rRNA. Functionally, it is thought that 5.8S rRNA may be involved in ribosome translocation. The record is from RNAcentral. Lineage: Eukaryota; Fungi; Ascomycota; Sordariomycetes; Glomerellales; Glomerellaceae.